AAUCAUUGAGCGCGGAGAACAAGUGGUUUUCCUCUUGGGUGGAUCUCAAAAGGCGGAUAAAGAUCGUGAAAUGGCCAGCCUUCUCAAGGAUUUUGGUGACGUUGGUGAUGCCGUGUGGUGCAGCAGCCUGUGUUGGGGUUGCGACUGGAGGUUGUGCUACGACUACUGCUGGUGCCUGUGCUGGGGCUGCUGUUGGUGACUGGGCAAAGGUAUUGAUAUAACACAGGGAAAGAAGAAGCAUUGAAAAUGAGAAGAUUGAGUACUGUUGCUUCAUCUUUAAGUUUCCACGGUAUAAUGCUAGAGAUAAUUAAAAAAUGCUAACGCAAAUUGAGUUCGAUCUUAGUUGGAAGUGUUUGAUGUCUGAAGAAGAGACAGAGUGAGCUUUUAUAGAAGUGGACAGAGGAUCAAACUAGGUGCAAUGUACGAGUUUAGUUAUACAACUUGGUUGCUAGUACCUAUUUUGCUCUGAAAGGUGGAGGGUCAUCAAUGGAUGGGUUUUUUAACAAUGCUGCAGCAACUACUUGGCUUGGAAAAGAAGGAAAAAAUUUCUAAAAAGCAGAUUUCCAGUGGUGUGACAGUAAAUAAAGAUGUCCAUGAUUGUCGAAAUUAUAUUUUAGAAUCAUCACUGUCAGAACAUUUGAGGAUACUUCUUAACUUAAAAAAAAAAAUCUUCUGUCAUGGCAGAAGAUUUGGACAAGCAAUCUUAACGGAACCAUCUUUCUAUAUCUAAAACAGCUAUGGCUCCUUCAGCAUAAUAGAAUGAAUCUUUACUUCCCUGAAUCCAUGACAGACAUCGAUAGACUAACUUUCCAAAUUUACACAGAAAUCAAAUCUCACCUAGACCAUCACUUAAAACAACACAAUCAAGCAACACCUACCUUAUGUACUUGAUUUGAUGUUCGUGGCAAGCCUUCUUUCAAGGUUUAUGCAAUCUCCAGGGGAGAUGCAUUUUAGGGCAGCAAAUAUGUCCUAAUACAUGUUAGGGGAACACUGAUUUUAGAGUAUGGUUUGAAGCUACUGCAGAUGCAGAAUUGACAGCCUACACAGAUGGUGAUUGGCUCGUUCAUUUGAUGAUAUGUAGAGCACAACAUGUUAUGAGUUCAAUUUCGGUUCAGGUGCAUUUUAUUGGAUGACCAACAAGCAAAAACAAUGGCACAAACCACUGCAGAAGCAGAGUACAUAGCUGCAGCAGCUACAGUGUGAAGCAACGACAAUUGAAAUUGAUAACAACUCAGCCAUUGCAAUUGUGAAAAAUCAUGCAAGUCAUGUCAAAACCAAGCAUAUCUAAGUGAAGUUCCAUUUAGUUCAUGAUGUAUAAAAAGCUAAUGAGGCGACCUUAAUCUACUGUGAAGCAGAAAAUCAACUUGAAGAUAUAUUCGUUAAAACUCUUUCUCAAGCCAGAUUUGAAUUUGUCAGGAACAAGCUUGGAUUAUCAAGAAGUCGUCUCAAGGAGGAAUGUCAUACCAAUUUUGAUACUUUUUCUACAUACUUAGUGCAUGUUCUGUAGCAAUCUACUGAUAUUUUGUAAAAAGUAUUGCUGAAGUAAACCUGCUGAAAAUCAUGUGAGGGCAGGUCCCAGUAGUCAAGGGGUGGUGUUGUGAUCCUUGGAUGGCAUUAGGUGGAGUUUUUCUUGAAAGAAAGUUAUAGUAAUCAAAUACUUCUGCGCAUAUAUAAAUGAUAAUGUCAGAUGUGGUAGUACGAAAAAACAAACCGGUUUACAAAAUCAGCAAAGCACUAUCAGUCUUGCUAUCUAUAAUUUCUCUGCUGCAAACAUUCUUGUUGGUCACAAAACCAGCAGUUAUGAAAUUGGAGAGAACCUGAACCUGAUGUUGGCUUAAACUGGAGAAAGAUUCAUUAAGAUAAAACUUUAAAGGCUCCAUUGUAAGCGCAAUGUGCAGGUUAUUUCACAUACAGAUUGGCAAAACUUCAAGUAAAUUAGCUGUACCAUGCAGAUCCAACUUCGAGCACUCAUUUUGUAACUCAAAAUCCUUGAGAUUGCUGAGAGAACUUCCAAAAAUAAACACCACUCAAUGCAAGCAUCUGCGUAUAAUAACAAACUUUCAUGAAAAGCUGUCAUCAAGAACAAUAUAAGUAUUAUCCUACAUUUGCACAAGCAACCAUCUGCAUAUAAUAAGACAAUAGCUCACUAGUUAUACAAAAUUCACAAUGAAAUAUCUGUUUUCACCGUUGUCCUACAAAAUGAAUGAAUUAAUGUGUAGCACUAGCUUAUCUCUAGCUUCAAAACAUCAAUACUUCAAGAAGAAGGAACGAAAAGAAAAGGAUUAUCUUAAUCCUGCAGGGCAGAGCAGUAAGGUGCUUCGCAUGAGCAAGUAACCCAAAACACUAAUCUCCAAUGCUUAAUAUGCUCUUUUCUGUCCAAUAAUGAAUACUUGUUUCAAUCAAACCUGAUAAAUCCUUGAAAUACUACCUACCUAGUACCUACCUUCAAUUGAAUCAUCUCCAACAGCCCACGAUUUGGACAAGUAACCUCAACCUCAAGUGAUGCAUUCUUUUUAGUGAAGGAACUAAGCUUUAGCUCCUGAAACUUUACAGAACAGAACUUUACAUUCUUCAUUCCUUACAACCUUCAACAGAUAAUCUUUUCAAAUAUACAAACACAGAAAUCAAAUCACCCACAAAUUUGAAGAAAACAUCAUUCAAGAAACACUGACCUCAGGGACCUAAGCCCCAAAGAGGCAAUUGGUUUAUCUAACCAAAAGCUAGGAAAUAAGUAGACGACACCAGGGUUACAGUGAGGAAAAAAAAUGAAAUUUGACAGAUCAAGUAUAUAUAUUGCAACUUGAACAAGAAAUUAAAUGAAACCUCAAAAUUCCAUCUUAACCACAAGCUCAAAUCAUACAAACUGGAUUCAAAGUAAAAUCUGAAUUAUUCAAAUUUCAACAGGAAUCCAAAGUCAACAAAAUCAUGAAACAAAACCGGAACCAAGCCCAACAUAUCUCCUCUCAAGUUUCAAAACCCUUCUACAUGACAAGCAAACAUUGCAGCAGCAACUAUAACGAGUGAUCCAACAACCACAUUAUUAUGCAUAAACGUAACUGCGCUAGAUAUAUCCACAGGAGCAACAGGACUCUCUACAUUAGCAGCAGGAACCGCCUUAGUAGGUUUUUCUCGUGCAGGUGCCUGUACUGGUGCUGGAGCUGGAGCAUUGGAUCCAAAAAUGUCCUUAGGAAGUAGCACCUUCUCGAUCUUAUAAAUGGCUAGCUGGUUGUCCGUGUAAACCGUGCCAGAUAAACUUGUAUUGGUAAGUCCUGUGGUUAUGUUCACCGAGUUUGGAUAACUUGUGACAUUAAGUGGUAACCUACUACCUGUUCCAGCCCAUGUUCCAAGAGGAUUACUUACAGUCUGAAACUGGGAAGUGGAUAGGAACGUUGGAACUACGUGGAACUUCACCAACUCAGACUUGUCGCCAUCACUUAGAGUAUUGAGAGUUCCUGAUUUGAGUUCCGAAAAUGCACUAUCUGUGGGUGCAAAGAUGGUUAAACCAGUGUUGGAAUCAUUGAGCGCGGAGAACAAGUGGUUUUCCUCUUGGGUGGAUCUCAAAAGGCGGAUAAAGAUCGUGAAGUGGCCAGCCUUCUCAAGUAUUUUGGUGACGUUGGUGAUGCCGUGUGGUGCAGCAGCCUGUGUUGGGGUUGCGACUGGAGGUUGUGCUACGACUACUGCUGGUGCCUGUGCUGGGGCUGCUGUUGGUGACUGGGCAAAGGUAUUGAUAUAACAAAGGGAAAGAAGGAGCAUUGAAAAUGAGAAGAUUGAGUGCUGUUGCUUCAUCCUUAUUUUUUUGGGAUAAAAUGCUCGAAACAAUUCAAAUAUACUAAUGCAAAUUGAUCUCAAUCAU
Molecule: long non-coding RNA, 3853 nt
Filed under: Populus trichocarpa (black cottonwood)
Lineage: Eukaryota; Viridiplantae; Streptophyta; Magnoliopsida; Malpighiales; Salicaceae
Description: long non-coding RNA (PTRI_LNC003158)
Source: RNAcentral